CUUCUACAUACAAGGGGUACUCAUGCUACUUAUAAGAAGUUGUUGGAUAGGGUGAACAGUCGGUUGGCUUCCUAGAAGGACAAACUUUUCUCCUAUGCAGGACGCGCAACUUUAAUCCAAGCUGUGACUUCCUCUAUUCCUAUUUAUGCUAUGCAAACUACUAAACUCCCUGUGAGUGUUUGUGAUGAAUUAGACCAAUUGAAUAGAAAUUUUUUCUGGGGAGGCAGUGAAAAACGAACCAAAGUUCAUCUAUGUCAGUGGAAUUUGGUUUGUCAUCCUAAGUGUAAAGGAGGGUUGGGUUUUAAGAACUCCUCUGCUAUGAAUCAAGCCUUGCUUGCUAAAAUGGGUUGGAGGACUUAGAACAAGGAUGGGGGGCUUUGGGCUAGGAUUUAUGAGGCCAAAUACCUUAAAGCCCUAAGGGCUCAAAUCUAGCAGCAAACUGAUGCAAUCAAGGGUAGAGCCACAUUUCAACACGUACUUUGACCGCAUCGUAAUCAAGGGUAGGGACACAUUUCAACCCGAGCUGAAAGUUAACUCAUAGUGAUUUUACUCUAGUAGUGAUUGUAAUGUUAUCAGCAUUUCAUGCCACAAAGGUGGGAAAUCAGCUUUGCCACACAGGUGGCAUUCACAAUCACUACGUAUGACAUGAUCAUAGAAACUUUUUAACUAA
Molecule: long non-coding RNA, 670 nt
Organism: Prunus dulcis (almond)
Lineage: Eukaryota; Viridiplantae; Streptophyta; Magnoliopsida; Rosales; Rosaceae
Exons: 2
Source: RefSeq, a predicted model, not a curated record